CCGAAGCGUAACAGAGCGAU
This 20-nucleotide microRNA is filed under the name Ciona intestinalis (vase tunicate). RNAcentral describes it as "cin-miR-4098-3p". Lineage: Eukaryota; Metazoa; Chordata; Ascidiacea; Phlebobranchia; Cionidae. The record is from miRBase by way of RNAcentral.